UACGGGGGGAGCAAGCGUUGUUCGGAUUUACUGGGCGUAAAGGGCGCGUAGGCGGCCUCUGCAAGUCGACUGUGAAAUCUCCGGGCUUAACCCGGAAAGGUCAGCCGAUACUGCAGGGCUAGAGUGCAGAAGGGGCAACUGGAAUUCUCGGUGUAGCGGUGAAAUUCGUAGAUAUUCGCAAGAACACCAGUGGCGAAGGCGGCUCACUGGCCCGGUACUGACGCUGAGGUGCGAAAGCGUGGGGAGCAAACAGG
Molecule: ribosomal RNA, 254 nt
Filed under: uncultured bacterium
Lineage: Bacteria
Description: partial 16S ribosomal RNA
Rfam family: Bacterial small subunit ribosomal RNA
Source: RNAcentral